UAGCUAGUUGGCGAGGCAACGGCCCACCAAGGCGACGAUCGGUAGCCGGCCUGAGAGGGUGAUCGGCCACAUUGGGACUGAGAUACGGCCCAGACUCCUACGGGAGGCAGCAGUAGGGAAUAUUGCACAAUGGGGGAAACCCUGAUGCAGCAACGCCACGUGUGGGAAGAAGCAUUUCGGUGUGUAAACCACUGUCAUGAGGGAAUAAGGCCAUCUCCGGGCGGGAUUGAAUGUACCUUGAGAGGAAGCACCGGCAAACUUCGUGCCAGCAGCCGCGGUAAUACGAGGGGUGCAAGCGUUAUUCGGAAUUACUGGGCGUAAAGGGAGCGUAGGCGGAGAUUCAAGCGGAUUGUACAAUCCCGGGGCCCAACCCCGGCUCUGCAGUCCGAACUGAAUAUCUUGGAUAGUNNAGGGGCAGGCGGAAUUCCUGGUGUAGCGGUGGAAUGCGUAGAGAUCAGGAAGAACACCGAUGGCGAAGGCAGCCUGCUGGGGACUUAUCGACGCUGAGGCUCGAAAGUGCGGGUAGCAAACAGGAUUAGAUACCCUGGUAGUCCNNACCGUAAACAAU
This 568-nucleotide ribosomal RNA is filed under the name uncultured Fibrobacter sp. Its description in RNAcentral is "bacterial SSU rRNA". It matches the Rfam family "Bacterial small subunit ribosomal RNA", at positions 242 to 810 of the family's 1533-position model. The record is from RNAcentral. Lineage: Bacteria; Pseudomonadati; Fibrobacterota; Fibrobacteria; Fibrobacterales; Fibrobacteraceae.